GUGCCAGCCGCCGCGGUAAGACAGGGGUCUCGAGCGUUAAUCGGAAUUACUGGGCUUAAAGGGUGCGUAGGCCGGCCCGCAAGUGCUUUGUGAAAUCCCCCGGCUCAACCGGGGAACAGCUCGGCAUACUGCGGGUCUUGAGGAAGGCAGGGGUCGCCAGAACUGUAGGUGGAGCGGUGAAAUGCGUAGAUAUCUACAGGAAUGCCGAUGGUGAAGACGGGCGACUGGGCCUUUCCUGACGCUGAGGCACGAAAGCGUGGGGAGCAAACAGGAUUAGAUACCCCCGUAGUCC
This 292-nucleotide ribosomal RNA is filed under the name uncultured bacterium. Its description in RNAcentral is "partial 16S ribosomal RNA". It matches the Rfam family "Bacterial small subunit ribosomal RNA", at positions 505 to 796 of the family's 1533-position model. The record is from RNAcentral.